UGGGGAAUUUUCCGCAAUGGGCGAAAGCCUGACGGAGCAAGACCGCGUGAGGGAAGAAGGUCUGUGGAUUGUAAACCUCUUUUGAUAGGGAAGAAGUUCUGACGGUACCUAUCGAAUCAGCCUCGGCUAACUCCGUGCCAGCAGCCGCGGUAAUACGGAGGAGGCAAGCGUUAUCCGGAAUUAUUGGGCGUAAAGCGUCCGUAGGUGGAUGUUCAAGUCUUCUGUCAAAGCGCGGAGCUUAACUCCGUAAAGGCAGAGGAAACUGAGCGUCUAGAGUGCGAUAGGGGCAAGGGGAAUUCCCAGUGUAGCGGUGAAAUGCGUAGAUAUUGGGAAGAACACCGGUGGCGAAAGCGCCUUGCUGGGUCUGCACUGACACUGAGGGACGAAAGCUAGGGGAGCGAAAGGGAUUAGAUACCCCUGUAGUCCUAGCUGUAAACGAUGGGUACUAGGCGUUGUCCGUAUCGACCCGGGCAGUGCCGUAGCUAACGCGUUAAGUACCCCGCCU
This 505-nucleotide ribosomal RNA is filed under the name uncultured cyanobacterium. RNAcentral's name for it is "bacterial SSU rRNA". It matches the Rfam family "Bacterial small subunit ribosomal RNA", at positions 355 to 874 of the family's 1533-position model. Lineage: Bacteria; Bacillati; Cyanobacteriota. The record is from RNAcentral.